RNAcentral lists this ribosomal RNA (253 nucleotides) under uncultured bacterium. Its description in RNAcentral is "partial 16S ribosomal RNA". It matches the Rfam family "Bacterial small subunit ribosomal RNA", at positions 524 to 776 of the family's 1533-position model. The record is from RNAcentral.
CACGUAGGUGGCAAGCGUUGUCCGGAUUUAUUGGGCGUAAAGAGCUCGUAGGUGGCUGAGUAAGUCGGAUGUUAAAUCCCCAGGCUCAACCUGGGACACCACCCGAUACUGCUCUGGCUAGAGUCCGGUAGGGGAGCGUGGAAUUCCUGGUGUAGCGGUGAAAUGCGCAGAUAUCAGGAGGAACACCAAUUGCGAAGGCAGCUCGCUGGGACGUUACUGACGCUGAGACGCGAAAGCGUGGGGAGCAAACAGG